RNAcentral lists this unclassified non-coding RNA (465 nucleotides) under Hevea brasiliensis (rubber tree). Lineage: Eukaryota; Viridiplantae; Streptophyta; Magnoliopsida; Malpighiales; Euphorbiaceae. The record is from RNAcentral.
GAGAUCCAUGACAACACUCUCAUGGAUCUUCUGCCACAAAUGUGCACGGAAUAUCUGUAUUAAAGAUAUCUUCAGAGUUGGAAUCUUCCCGUGCAUAAAUAUCCCAGUCAGAUCCAGUUGUACUUGGAAACCAACAUAGACAUUUGCCCUAUUUAUGGUUGGUGACCACCAAAGUGUAAACCUACGAUUUGGAAUUUGAUUAAGCCCAGAUCGUUGAGCAUUAGUCAGUUUCUUGUACUUCAUGGAUUCCUCAAAACCUGAAGCUUUCUCCCAGAAAAGUCCCUCCCAAGUAGGGAAAUAUGUUCCUUUGAAUAAUGUAUGCUCCAGAAUUCCUUCAACUCCUCCAAGAGCUUGAAUAACAUCAGUACGAUAAUUAUUCAGGUUCCAUAGCUUCCCAUCAUGCCUCUGGUGUGUCCACCAGAACGGAUUCUGCUUAAGAACUUGGUACUGCUUAAAAUCUGUUCU